RNAcentral lists this unclassified non-coding RNA (185 nucleotides) under soil metagenome. RNAcentral describes it as "partial contains 5.8S ribosomal RNA, internal transcribed spacer 2, and large subunit ribosomal RNA". The record is from RNAcentral.
AAGACUAUAGACCUGCGGAGUACCUGCGGAGGGAUCAUUAGUGAAUGGCCUUUUUGGCCUUCAAACCCUUCAAACCUGUGGAAGAGAAAAUGUGCUUCGGCGCCCAUGGGCGCCGCCCUUAAUGCAAACCUCAGUCUUGUGUCUGAAGUAUAUUUAAAGGUUAAAACUUUUAACAACGGAUCUCU